Aspergillus leporis is the source of this 141-nucleotide non-coding RNA. NCBI's taxonomy places the organism in Eukaryota, Fungi, Ascomycota, Eurotiomycetes, Eurotiales, Aspergillaceae. The record is from the annotation of a GenBank genome assembly.
GCCCUUGUAUUUCAAUGGUAGAAUGCGUGACUGUUAGUACCCAAUCAUAUCCCAGCAUUUCUGUUAUCAGAAAUACUAAUCCUUCUCUAGUCUAUAACAGGAGGUAUCUCGAGGCUGUGGGUUCGAGCCCCACCAAGGGCU